GAGUCGUGCCACCCUGGAGCAGAAGGUGGAGGGUAGGGAUAAGGGGGUGGAGCACCUGAUUCCAAUCUUGCCACAGGGAAGAAGAGUCUGUGAAGAACAUUCCUUAGGGUCUUUGGCUGGGCUCUGGGAUGGAUGCCAUGGGAGUACCUUUACUUAAGCUCUAAAGUUACCAAUGGAGAGACUGGGACUCAAAGAGGAACUUGAUUGGACCCCAGAGAGACCUCAUUAUUGCACAGCUGAGAGUGGCUUGAAACAAAGGCUUGGAGAAUGUGAGUGAAACUGAUUCCUGUGGUGGAGAGGCAGUGAAAAAGCAUUACCUUGUAGGUUUCCAGGCAGCCUGGACAAUAGGGGCACCUAAACCCACAUUGAAAAGCCUUCACAUCAUCACAGCUGAGUCUCAUAGCCUUCAACUUUACCAGUUUUGGAGAACAGAGAUAAAUGCACUGGCCAGAAACUAGAAGAGCAGCUGCUCCAAUUGGCUGGGAAAUCAUUUAACUGGCUCCUCAUCUUGGCUCUUAAAUCCCCAAAAUUGUUGACUGAGGUUUCCCGGGCUCCUUUCUAUGCUCCACCUCCUUGUGACCUUAAGGAUUCUCUGCCACUGUCCUAACCCCUUUCCCGCCUUGCAACAAUGACCAGUCUGUCCCUAGCUGUUUGGAAAAUUC
Molecule: long non-coding RNA, 662 nt
Organism: Homo sapiens (human)
Lineage: Eukaryota; Metazoa; Chordata; Mammalia; Primates; Hominidae
Gene: TNS2-AS1
Product: TNS2 antisense RNA 1
Source: Ensembl